RNAcentral lists this ribosomal RNA (253 nucleotides) under uncultured bacterium. RNAcentral describes it as "partial 16S ribosomal RNA". It matches the Rfam family "Bacterial small subunit ribosomal RNA", at positions 524 to 776 of the family's 1533-position model. The record is from RNAcentral.
UACGUAGGGUGCGAGCGUUGUCCGGAUUUAUUGGGCGUAAAGAGCUCGUAGGCGGCUUGUCGCGUCGACCGUGAAAACUCGCAGCUCAACUGCGAGCCUGCGGUCGAUACGGGCAGGCUAGAGUCCGGUAGGGGAGUGUGGAAUUCCCGGUGUAGCGGUGAAAUGCGUAGAUAUCGAGAGGAACACCUGCGGCGAAGGCGGGUUGCUGGGCUGAUACUGACGCUGAGGUGCGAAAGCGUGGGGAGCAAACAGG